This 253-nucleotide ribosomal RNA is filed under the name uncultured bacterium. Its description in RNAcentral is "partial 16S ribosomal RNA". It matches the Rfam family "Bacterial small subunit ribosomal RNA", at positions 524 to 776 of the family's 1533-position model. The record is from RNAcentral.
UACGUAGGGGGCUAGCGUUGUCCGGAUUUAUUGGGCGUAAAGAGCGUGUAGGCGGCCAGGUAGGUCUGGUGUGAAAACUCGAGGCUUAACCUCGAGAUGUCAUCGGAAACCAUCUGGCUAGAGUCCGGAAGAGGAGAGUGGAAUUCCUGGUGUAGCGGUGAAAUGCGCAGAUAUCAGGAAGAACACCAAUGGCGAAAGCAGCUCUCUGGGACGAUACUGACGCUGAGACGCGAAAGCGUGGGGAGCGAACAGG